CACAAGUACCUCUGGACCAACUCCAUUUUGGCAUCAUACAUAGAAGCUUCUGGAAAACAGAGAUUGCACCAUGACACAUUGACACAAGACUAUGUGAGAGAUAUAGAGAUUAAUAGAGUUUAAAAGUGAUAUAAAUACAGAGAACAAACUGGUGGUUUACAUGGAGAGAUGCGCAAAAUAGGUGGAGGGAGAGGAUUAAGAGGUACAAACUUCAGUUAAUAAGUAAACUCUAGGUCCAACAUGGAGCUUGAACUCACAACCCCAAAAUCAAGAGUUGCAUGUUCUUCUGAGUCAGCCAAGCAUCCCAGAACAUUCAUGAGAUAUUAG
Nyctereutes procyonoides (raccoon dog) is the source of this 327-nucleotide long non-coding RNA. RefSeq lists it as uncharacterized. The record is from RefSeq and is a predicted model, not a curated record. The transcript is spliced from 3 exons. Lineage: Eukaryota; Metazoa; Chordata; Mammalia; Carnivora; Canidae.